AAUAGAUACCCAGGUAGUCCACGCCGUAAACGAUGUCGACUUGGAGGUUGUGCCCUUGAGGCGUGGCUUCCGGAGCUAACGCGUUAAGUCGACCGCCUGGGGAGUACGGCCGCAAGGUUAAAACUCAAAUGAAUUGACGGGGGCCCGCACAAGCGGUGGAGCAUGUGGUUUAAUUCGAUGCAACGCGAAGAACCUUACCUACUCUUGACAUCCAGAGAACUUGGCAGAGAUGCUUUGGUGCCUUCGGGAACUCUGAGACAGGUGCUGCAUGGCUGUCGUCAGCUCGUGUUGUGAAAUGUUGGGUUAAGUCCCGCAACGAGCGCAACCCUUAUCCUUUGUUGCCAGCGGUUAGGCCGGGAACUCAAAGGAGACUGCCAGUGAUAAACUGGAGGAAGGUGGGGAUGACGUCAAGUCAUCAUGGCCCUUACGAGUAGGGCUACACACGUGCUACAAUGGCAUAUACAAAGAGAAGCGACCUCGCGAGAGCAAGCGGACCUCAUAAAGUAUGUCGUAGUCCGGA
Molecule: ribosomal RNA, 520 nt
Filed under: uncultured bacterium
Lineage: Bacteria
Description: bacterial SSU rRNA
Rfam family: Bacterial small subunit ribosomal RNA
Source: RNAcentral